UACGGGGGGUGCGAGCGUUGUCCGGAAUCACUGGGCGUAAAGGGCGCGUAGGUGGUUUGAUAAGGGUGUGGUGAAAGCCCGGGGCUCAACCCCGGGUCUGCCGUGCCGACUGUCAAACUCGAGGGCUGUAGAGGCAGACGGAAUUCCGGGUGUAGCGGUGGAAUGCGUAGAGAUCCGGAAGAACACCGGUGGCGAAGGCGGCCUGCUGGGCAGUGGCUGACGCUGAGGCGCGACAGCGUGGGGAGCAAACAGG
Molecule: ribosomal RNA, 253 nt
Filed under: uncultured bacterium
Lineage: Bacteria
Description: partial 16S ribosomal RNA
Rfam family: Bacterial small subunit ribosomal RNA
Source: RNAcentral